UCCGAGCUCGGCCGGGGAGCCGCGCUGCGGGUGGUGCUGGAGGCACCGUCCGGCGGGGUGGACGACCCGGCGCCCGGACGCGGCCGGCUGCUCGGGCCC
RNAcentral lists this transfer RNA (99 nucleotides) under Streptomyces sulfonofaciens. RNAcentral describes it as "tRNA-Ser". The record is from RNAcentral. Lineage: Bacteria; Bacillati; Actinomycetota; Actinomycetes; Kitasatosporales; Streptomycetaceae.